UCUCAAAAAAAACCUGGGUUUCCGUGAUCAACGUUUAACUGUCCGUCUUGUAUGAAUUUUUUUAUAAUUAGUAUUUUCAUAGUUGUUAGAUGAUAAAAUAUGAUUAAUAUUUUAUACGUGACUUGUCUUUUUAAUUUUUUUUCAUAAAUUUUUCAAAUAAAACGGACGGUCAAACGUUGGACACGGAAACCCAGGGUUUGUCUUUUU
Oryza sativa Japonica Group (Japanese rice) is the source of this 207-nucleotide microRNA precursor. It matches the Rfam family "MIR812 microRNA precursor family". NCBI's taxonomy places the organism in Eukaryota, Viridiplantae, Streptophyta, Magnoliopsida, Poales, Poaceae. The record is from Rfam.